GUACACACCGCCCGUCGCUCCUACCGAUUUCGAGUGGUCCGGUGAGCCUUUUGGACCAGGGGGCAACCUCUGUAAAUCAAGCAAACCUUAUCACUUAGAGGAAGGAGAAGUCGUAACAAGGUUUCCGUAGGUGAACCUGCAGAAGGAUCA
This 150-nucleotide ribosomal RNA is filed under the name uncultured eukaryote. RNAcentral describes it as "partial small subunit ribosomal RNA". It matches the Rfam family "Eukaryotic small subunit ribosomal RNA", at positions 1662 to 1828 of the family's 1831-position model. The record is from RNAcentral.